This 372-nucleotide ribosomal RNA is filed under the name uncultured organism. RNAcentral's name for it is "partial 16S ribosomal RNA". It matches the Rfam family "Bacterial small subunit ribosomal RNA", at positions 527 to 896 of the family's 1533-position model. The record is from RNAcentral.
GUAGGUGGCAAGCGUUGUCCGGAAUUAUUGGGCGUAAAGCGCGCGCAGGCGGUCCUUUAAGUCUGGUGUGAAAGCCCACGGCUCAACCGUGGAGGGUCAUUGGAAACUGGGGGACUUGAGUACAGAAGAGGAAAGCGGAAUUCCAAGUGUAGCGGUGAAAUGCGUAGAGAUUUGGAGGAACACCAGUGGCGAAGGCGGCUUUCUGGUCUGUAACUGACGCUGAGGCGCGAAAGCGUGGGGAGCAAACAGGGAUUAGAUACCCUGGUAGUCCACGCCGUAAACGAUGAGUGCUAAGUGUUAGGGGGUUUCCCGCCCCUUAGUGCUGCAGCUAACGCAUUAAGCACUCCGCCUGGGGAUACGGCCGCAAGGCUG